RNAcentral lists this ribosomal RNA (449 nucleotides) under uncultured bacterium. Its description in RNAcentral is "bacterial SSU rRNA". It matches the Rfam family "Bacterial small subunit ribosomal RNA", at positions 355 to 796 of the family's 1533-position model. The record is from RNAcentral.
UCGAGAAUUUUUCUCAAUGGGGGAAACCCUGAAGGAGCGACGCCGCGUGAAGGAUGAAGGUCUUCGGAUCGUAAACUUCUGUCAUUAGAGAACAAUGCGCACGGGAGUAACUGCCCGGGCGUUGAUAGUACCUGAAGAGGAAGAGACGGCUAACUCUGUGCCAGCAGCCGCGGUAAUACAGAGGUCUCAAGCGUUGUUCGGAUUCAUUGGGCGUAAAGGGUGCGUAGGUGGCGAAGUAAGUCGGGUGUGAAAUCUCGGGGCUUAACCCCGAAACUGCAUUCGAUACUGCUUUGCUCGAGGACUGGAGAGGAGAUCGGAAUUCAUGGUGUAGCAGUGAAAUGCGUAGAUAUCAUGAGGAAGACCAGUGGCGAAGGCGGAUCUCUGGACAGUUCCUGACACUGAGGCACGAAGGCCAGGGGAGCAAACGGGAUUAGAUACCCCCGUAGUCC